GGGCCCGCACAAGCAGUGGAGUAUGUGGUUUAAUUCGAAGCAACGCGAAGAACCUUACCAGGGCUUGACAUCUGCCGAAUCCCAAGAGAUUGGGAGUGCCUUUUAGGAACGGCAAGACAGGUGGUGCAUGGUUGUCGUCAGCUCGUGUCGUGAGAUGUUGGGUUAAGUCCCGCAACGAGCGCAACCCUUAUUGUUAGUUGCCAUCAUUUGGUUGGGCACUCUAACGAGACUGCCGGUGACAAAUCGGAGGAAGGUGGGGACGACGUCAAAUCAUCAUGCCCCUUAUGUCCUGGGCUACACACGUACUACAAUGGCCGCAAACAACGGGAAGCGAAGCCGCGAGGCGGAGCAAAUCCCCAAAAGCGGUCCCAGUUCGGAUUGCAGGCUGAAACUCGCCUGCAUGAAGUCGGAAUUGCUAGUAAUCGCAGAUCAGCAUGCUGCGGUGAAUACGUUCCCGGGCCUU
RNAcentral lists this ribosomal RNA (463 nucleotides) under uncultured bacterium. Its description in RNAcentral is "bacterial SSU rRNA". It matches the Rfam family "Bacterial small subunit ribosomal RNA", at positions 917 to 1382 of the family's 1533-position model. The record is from RNAcentral.